UACGAAGGGGGCUAGCGUUGCUCGGAAUCACUGGGCGUAAAGCGCACGUAGGCGGUUCUUUAAGUCAGGGGUGAAAUCCCGGAGCUCAACUCCGGAACUGCCUUUGAUACUGGAGAUCUUGAGUCCGGGAGAGGUGAGUGGAACUGCGAGUGUAGAGGUGAAAUUCGUAGAUAUUCGCAAGAACACCAGUGGCGAAGGCGGCUCACUGGCCCGGUACUGACGCUGAGGUGCGAAAGCGUGGGGAGCAAACAGG
RNAcentral lists this ribosomal RNA (253 nucleotides) under uncultured bacterium. RNAcentral describes it as "partial 16S ribosomal RNA". It matches the Rfam family "Bacterial small subunit ribosomal RNA", at positions 524 to 776 of the family's 1533-position model. The record is from RNAcentral.